Molecule: long non-coding RNA, 482 nt
Filed under: Rosa chinensis
Lineage: Eukaryota; Viridiplantae; Streptophyta; Magnoliopsida; Rosales; Rosaceae
Description: sRNA RchiOBHm_Chr4g0397531
Source: RNAcentral
CGUUAUCAGCAGGAUAUUCUAACCUAAGCCCUAGCUAGGAAAAAAAACCCUAACACCCGAAAUUUCUUUCACCAAAAACUGCCUCAAGCUCCUAGCCCUUGUUAGCCAUACCGUGCGCUACUUCUGCAGCCCUUGAGCACCCGUGUGCCUCCUACUGCCCCUGCAGCACAGCAGAACGCUCGUUUAUGUGCAGAUCAUCCUGUUUGCACACCCCAAAACAUCUUGAUCGGGACCUCAGAUCAAAAUCCUUCCUUCAUCAAUGUUUUUCGUCUCUGCCUCUUCUAUCUUACCCCCAAAUUCACUACACCAAAAGUAGGCUUUAGAGACAGAGCCUAGUGACGGAAUAAGAAAGGCGUCUCUAAUAAUAUAUAGUAGAGACGAAAUUAUUAAGAACGUCUCAAAUAAUGAUAAAGGCAGUAGUAUCCGUCUCAAUUGAUAUAGUGGGUCCCAUCAAUUUUUGUAACUUUUAAUUUUUGGAGUCG